UGCGCAGGCGGCCAAGUGUGUCAGAUGUGAAAUCCCGAGGCUCAACCUCGGAACUGCGUCUGAAACUACUCGGCUAGAGUAUCGGAGAGGGUAACGGAAUUCACGGUGUAGCAGUGAAAUGCGUAGAUAUCGUGAGGAACACCAGAGGCGAAGGCGGUUACCUGGACAAUUACUGACGCUCAGGCACGAAAGCGUGGGGAGCAAAAG
RNAcentral lists this ribosomal RNA (207 nucleotides) under uncultured bacterium. RNAcentral describes it as "partial 16S ribosomal RNA". It matches the Rfam family "Bacterial small subunit ribosomal RNA", at positions 568 to 774 of the family's 1533-position model. The record is from RNAcentral.